This 492-nucleotide ribosomal RNA is filed under the name uncultured bacterium. RNAcentral's name for it is "partial 16S ribosomal RNA". It matches the Rfam family "Bacterial small subunit ribosomal RNA", at positions 29 to 507 of the family's 1533-position model. The record is from RNAcentral.
AGUGAACGCUGGCGGUAGGCCUAACACAUGCAAGUCGAACGGCAGCACAGUAAGAGCUUGCUCUUACGGGUGGCGAGUGGCGGACGGGUGAGGAAUACAUCGGAAUCUACUUUUUCGUGGGGGAUAACGUGGGGAAACUUACGCUAAUACCGCAUACGACCUACGGGUGAAAGCAGGGGAUCUUCGGACCUUGCGCGAUUGAAUGAGCCGAUGUCGGAUUAGCUAGUUGGCGGGGUAAAGGCCCACCAAGGCGACGAUCCGUAGCUGGUCUGAGAGGAUGAUCAGCCACACUGGAACUGAGACACGGUCCAGACUCCUACGGGAGGCAGCAGUGGGGAAUAUUGGACAAUGGGCGCAAGCCUUAUCCAGCCAUACCGCGUGGGUGAAGAAGGCCUUCGGGUUGUAAAGCCCUUUUGUUGGGAAAGAAAAGCAGCAGGUUAAUACCCCGCUGUUCUGACGGUACCCAAAGAAUAAGCACCGGCUAACUUCGUG